RNAcentral lists this long non-coding RNA (1061 nucleotides) under Homo sapiens (human). Its description in RNAcentral is "HSALNT0373044". Lineage: Eukaryota; Metazoa; Chordata; Mammalia; Primates; Hominidae. The record is from RNAcentral.
AUGGUAAUUUUAUAAUUGCUUUUAGUUUUUUAUUAACAUGUGGGCUUUCUGCUCAGACUCCCUGCUUUUCAGAACUGGUAUCCACUUCCAGCCAAAGAUUAGCCUUUGCCCCAUGCUUCUCUACCACUGGAGUUACUUCAAACACCACCACCUAAAUAAAGCUCAGUUCCCACUGCACCAACAAGCCACAGCCGAGAGUUCUGUGCAACAAAUGCGUUUCUGAAGUUCCGGAAGCCUGGACAUAGCAGUAAUUCCAGGACAAGACAGUUGGACAGCCCGCGGGGGUGGGGGUCAGGAGGAAUGGCUCCCCAGACUCCUGAACAGAGGAUGGUGACCCAAUCAGGGAACACGUCUCAACCCAACAUUGAAAGGACAAAGUUGCGUCUGCAGGCUUCCUCUUAAUUCUAUGGAUCAUGCAAUAGUCUUUCAAGAAAUUAUCUUCUGCUUAGCUAGUCACUUCCUGUUGCUAGAACCAUGAAGAGGCCUGGUGAAAGAUGUUCAGUAUACUACCUGCAUCAGCUGCUACUGCUAUGUGACAAGCAAAUUUUCCAGAAACACUGACAUGGAAACAGGAUCUUUCUUCUCCUACUGUUUGUUCCUCGACUACAGUUAUAAUCCUCUAUUUGUGACAUCAUAAUUAGUUGCCACUGGAGAAGACGAUCGUGUCACAAAAGGAUUAGGACCUAAGUAUUUAAUGAAUGCCCACCAUUGAUGAGGCACUAUGCUAGAUGCAGAGGACACAGUAGUGAACAAGAUGUGUUUUCUAUUCUCCGGGGACUGACAGUACACAGAUGUAGACAGGCAAGUAAAUAGUAGGGCAUAAUGUGAUCGGAGUUGAGAUGCCAUAGGAGUGCCCCCUAUCUGAUUGAGAAGUCAGGUAAGCCUUUCCAGGGCUGAUGUCGCCACUGACUCCUAAAGAAUGAUCAAGAACCAGUAAAGUCACGUGCGGUCUAACGAGGCAUCCCAAGCAGCAGGAACAACAGCAUGUGCAAAGUCCCAGAGGCAAGAACGACAGUGGACACUGCAAUCCUACCAUCUAAUCUCCUCGAAUCCUUGAUGCA